This 455-nucleotide long non-coding RNA is filed under the name Physcomitrium patens. Its description in RNAcentral is "long non-coding RNA (PPAT_LNC014349)". The record is from RNAcentral. Lineage: Eukaryota; Viridiplantae; Streptophyta; Bryopsida; Funariales; Funariaceae.
AUAUAGGAGUUGUAGAAGUUAGCCUGAGUACCAGACUAUGAUAGUCAUGAGUCGAGGUAAGCUUGGUGCUACCUCUUUGUCUCUUUGUUUCUUUGUUGUUGAAAAAUAAUGGAUGGAUUUUGAAUAUUGAGAAGUGAGUCUAUAAAAUAAAUCAGAGAUUAAUUUAUGAGAUAUUGAUUAUGUAAUUGGAGUACUAAGUGAUUGAAUUAUAUGAGGAGUUAUUGAAAGAUUAUGAUUGUUUUUUAUUGAGAGCUGUGUGUGUUUUGACAGAAAAAAUCUGUGAUUACAAAAAUUAUGUGAAUUCAGAUUGGUUGGAGUGAAGUUUGUUAUUUCUGGUGUUGGAUGGAAAUUAUGUAUUUUGAGCGGUCUUUUGAGAGUACAGGGUUGUACAUUAUUGUUAUCAGUUGAUGAAAGAGUAUUGUUACUAAAAGAAAGCAUUGUAGUGUUUCUUAGUA